CUUGAAUUUCCCCUGGGGAUCAAUAAAGUAUCUAUCUAUCUAUCUAUCUAUUUAUCUAUCUAGGUCUUAAGACGCACAUAUAUAGAAACCAUAAACAAUGU
Molecule: long non-coding RNA, 101 nt
Organism: Alosa sapidissima (American shad)
Lineage: Eukaryota; Metazoa; Chordata; Actinopteri; Clupeiformes; Clupeidae
Exons: 3
Source: RefSeq, a predicted model, not a curated record